This 400-nucleotide ribosomal RNA is filed under the name uncultured bacterium. Its description in RNAcentral is "bacterial SSU rRNA". It matches the Rfam family "Bacterial small subunit ribosomal RNA", at positions 355 to 747 of the family's 1533-position model. The record is from RNAcentral.
UGGGGAAUUUUGGACAAUGGGCGAAAGCCUGAUUCAGCCAUGCCGCGUGAGUGAAGAAGGCCUUCGGGUUGUAAAGCUCUUUCAGACGGAAAGAAAUCUCCUGGGUGAAUAUCCCGGGAGGAUGACGGUACCGUAAGAAGAAGCACCGGCUAACUACGUGCCAGCAGCCGCGGUAAUACGUAGGGUGCGAGCGUUAAUCGGAAUUACUGGGCGUAAAGCGUGCGCAGGCGGUUGCAUAAGACAGAUGUGAAAUCCCCGGGCUCAACCUGGGAACUGCGUUUGUGACUGUGCGACUGGAGUACGGUAGAGGGGGGUGGAAUUCCUGGUGUAGCAGUGAAAUGCGUAGAGAUCGGAAGGAACAUCAGUGGCGAAGGCGACACUCUGGUCUGACACUGACGCU